GGCCUUGGUAGCUCAGUUGGUAGAGCACCUGACUGAAGAUACAGGGGUCCCGGGUUCGAUUCCCGGUCUAGCCA
Molecule: non-coding RNA, 74 nt
Organism: Saccostrea cuccullata (small rock oyster)
Lineage: Eukaryota; Metazoa; Mollusca; Bivalvia; Ostreida; Ostreidae
Source: the annotation of a RefSeq genome assembly